GACCCCAUCGUCUAGAGGUCUAGGACACCAGGUUUUCAUCCUGGUAACACGGGUUCGAUUCCCGUUGGGGUCGCCA
RNAcentral lists this transfer RNA (76 nucleotides) under Verrucomicrobia bacterium ADurb.Bin018. Its description in RNAcentral is "tRNA-Glu". It matches the Rfam family "tRNA". Rfam says of the family: Transfer RNA (tRNA) molecules are approximately 80 nucleotides in length. Their secondary structure includes four short double-helical elements and three loops (D, anti-codon, and T loops). The record is from RNAcentral. RNAcentral also lists the same sequence under 4 other names. Lineage: Bacteria; Pseudomonadati; Verrucomicrobiota.